Molecule: non-coding RNA, 1301 nt
Organism: Taeniopygia guttata (zebra finch)
Lineage: Eukaryota; Metazoa; Chordata; Aves; Passeriformes; Estrildidae
Source: RefSeq, a predicted model, not a curated record
AAAUUAGCAUGUAAUAGCGCAGCAGCGUGGAGUGGGCUUGAAAGAGGAUCCGGGAGGGGAAAAAAAAAAGGCGAGGGGUGGGGGGCGGAAAAGAAAAAAAAGAAAGAUCGCACUUGAACUGAGCGCGGGUCACGGGGGGUUCGCUGUCGGCGAUCCCCGCGUGUUCCCGCGGGCCGCGGGGCCGGGCGCGGCGCGCCGCCAGGCGGCGCUGUGGGAGCGGGAAUGCGCCGGGCCCGCGCCGCGACCCCCGCGGGCCGCCGGGAGCGCCCCCCGCCCCAGAAAUGAGCCAUUUACGGGGAUUUUGGCGUCUUCUUGCAAAUCAAAAAAAAAAAAAUGGUGCGAGGGAAACAAUACGGGUAUAUCUGGGCUGGAAGGCUCCUGGCGGGGCAGGCAGCGCUGAGCGAGCUCCCGACGGCUUCGGCCUCGCCGCGCCCCGGCUCCCCCGCGCCCGGCGCAGGGUGUCCCGUGCGGGGGCGGGCGAGGCUGCCGAGAGCGCUCGCCCUCUGCGCCCCGGGCCGCGCAGCAGCCAGGUGAAGAUGGCUAAUUAUGAACCACACAGACAGUGAAGACUGCACACUUCACCAAGAGACCAAGAUACAGGCUACAGUUUUUCACAAGGAGAAAGAAGAUAACGCUUCUUCUUCAUAAGAAGAAAAUGUAUAAAAAUCAGUCAUGGAUUUAGCAUGUGAAGCAAUGGCCUCCAUCAAUCCCUCUCCUGCAUCCCUGUGCUGUAGCUGUGGAACCUCAUCCAUUACUGCCAUGCUGUGGGUCCACCUUAGUCCCUCAACUCAGGGUGCUGGUUGGAGGGAGCUGGAUGCUGCAGAAAGCAAACAUAUCCUGGAGACCUGCCUAUGAAACACAGGACCUAGCACAGGCUGAGAGAUCAAACUGGUUCCCUUUGGACUGGGCAUACUUCUGAGGGGAAUGAAUUUGGUACAGAGGACUAAUUGAGUGAGUCACUGGUAAGACUUCAACGUUGUGAGUAGGAACAAAAAUCUCAGUGGAACAGUACAAUAAUUAUUUAAACUUUUUAAAUUAUAAUUUGUAAUGAAGAAAAAGAGAACCCUUCAUCCAAAGGAAAUUUUACAGCAUUGAUUGCUCUGACAUGAGCAGCAGACAAUAAGGGAGGUGCCAGCCCAGGAAAAUGUGUGUGGAGCCAUUGACACACAUGGAAAGAUAAAAACUAAAAAACCCAAGUGAACUCUCUGGCAUAACUGUAGACAAUAUUGCAGCUGAUGACAAUAAAGCUCCCACACUAAUACUUCAGUAGGAAAAGGUGCUAAUAAAGAGCUUAUUGAAAA